UUUAUUAUUUACUGCUUAUGAGCAUUGAGUGUGGUCAAGCUGUGUAGACCCUUAGGAGCUUGUCAUGUGGUUAAAUCAAGAUUCACUUGCACGUUCACUCAUAUAUGCUACUUCUACUCCGGAAGUACCAUCCACAUAUAUCCAUCCAUGUCCAUCUCCAGAACCACCCAAAAAUAUUCUACUCCUAAUCCGGGAGAGAAUAGCCAAAAAUAUUUCUAUUUUCCCUUGCAAAAUAAAUGCUCAAGUUAUCUUGCUACUACCACUUGCUAUAUUAUCUCAAGAGAUGAGUGCUCUGAAAAAAAAUAAAUGAGGAAAUAAAAAGGGGCAAGUUCCCGGAACCUCGAAAGAAAGAAAAAGUGAGACGAGAGGUAAAAAUGGCCAAGUGUCCGACAGUAGAAUUAGGGGUACAAGAUACCCACCUGAGGGGAAAGAAAAAUGAAAGAUAGAGCAUCUCAUUCUCCUCAUAAAGUUUCAAAAAGCAAGGAAGGUAUGUAUCCCCUCAAAAGAGCAAAAGUAGAAUUAGACUUUCACCAUUGUUAUCGCCAUCAUCACCAUACACCAUUCAUUCGCCACACAUGCACAUCUUGAUUUGGCUUAUUGAUUUGUUUCUUUGGAUCCAUGGUUUGACUAUACAAUAAAUAUCUUGUAUGUAUGUAUACUUUAUCUCCCACCUAUGAGCUCCAGAUAUUAAAGCCUUAUUAGAGUAGGGUGAGAGAGAAGGCAAUGUCACUGUGCCUUAUACCACAAAUACCACAUAUCUUGAGAGAAGGCAUAUACCAUCACUGCCUUGGUAAGGAUCUAGAAAUACCACAAAAGAG
This 818-nucleotide long non-coding RNA is filed under the name Sorghum bicolor (sorghum). RNAcentral describes it as "long non-coding RNA (SBIC_LNC014122)". Lineage: Eukaryota; Viridiplantae; Streptophyta; Magnoliopsida; Poales; Poaceae. The record is from RNAcentral.